CAACUGUUACCCCAAAGAACCCUGCACACCACAGAAUCUUGCACUCGCUAUACUUUUUCGAAUACCCAGGAAACAACAAAGCUGUUAUUGAGUGUUACAAUCUCCUUACGUAGCCGUGUAAGAUUGUUGAUGCCCACCAUUAUUGCGACGAAGAACAUUGACCCUGCUCUACAGACAAGUCGUCGUCGAUCCUACAAAGGGCGUUACAGUGGCGGCAGAACCCAUGCAAUCUAUUCCAAAUAUCUUCUAUUAUCCGAUUACCAGAAAACAAAAUACAUUCAUUGCGAUGAUUUCGGAGAUGCAUUCGAGGAAGACCUGCCCUAACAACUUUAUCUGGAGUCAACCAAUUUUCAAUGUAUUCCAAGAGGCUGAUAUUCAUGCUCACCCCCAGUUGUUGAAAGUAACGAAAUAUACUCAUAUUAUAUAUAAACACUUUACAUGAAACCUGAUAUAGAAUAGAUAAACAUUCAAUUAAGAAAGUCGUAAAUAUUCACAUUUACUUCCGU
RNAcentral lists this long non-coding RNA (506 nucleotides) under Mytilus galloprovincialis (Mediterranean mussel). The record is from RNAcentral. Lineage: Eukaryota; Metazoa; Mollusca; Bivalvia; Mytilida; Mytilidae.